CAAUAGCGUAUAUUAAAGUUGUUGCAGUUAAAAAGCUCGUAGUUGGAUUUCUAACGGAUGCGUCUGGUCUGCCCCGCGAGGGGUUUGCACUGAGUUCGUCGUCUGUUAUCCUUGGAGAGAGCGGCUCUGGCAUUCAGUUGUCGGGGUCGUGGUCUCCAUCAUUUACUUUGAAAAAUUAGAGUGUUCAAAGCAGGCCUAUGCUCUGAAUAGGUUAGCAUGGAAUAAUAGAAUAGGACUUCGGUACUAUUUUGUUGGUUUCUAGGACCGAAGUAAUGAUUAAUAGGGACAGUUGGGGGCAUUCAUAUUCCAUUGUCAGAGGUGAAAUUCUUGGAUUAACGGAAGAUGAACUACUGCGAAAGCAUCUGCCAAGGAUGUUUUCAUUGAUCAAGAACGAAAGUUAGGGGAUCGAAGACGAUCAGAUACCGU
Molecule: ribosomal RNA, 426 nt
Filed under: uncultured eukaryote
Lineage: Eukaryota
Description: bacterial SSU rRNA
Rfam family: Eukaryotic small subunit ribosomal RNA
Source: RNAcentral